Molecule: long non-coding RNA, 2365 nt
Organism: Chroicocephalus ridibundus (black-headed gull)
Lineage: Eukaryota; Metazoa; Chordata; Aves; Charadriiformes; Laridae
Exons: 3
Source: RefSeq, a predicted model, not a curated record
AGACCUCCUCAGCCCUGGUCCUUCUUGCAGGGUUUACCCACCCUAAUGCAGCCCAGGGGCAACUUGGUCUCCUAAACCCCAAACCACCACGUUGCUUUCCAGCCGGUUGUCCCAAGGCCGACCUGCUGCAUGGGGUGGGCUGGAACUGGAUGAUCUUUAAGGUCCCUCCCUUCCAACCCAAACCAUUCUGUGAUUCUCUGGCUACCAGGGUGCAGGACACGUGGAUUUUGGGAAGCAGCUCUUUGGUUUAGGGAUGAAGGGUUGGACACGAAGGGGUUGGGAUGAAAGGCCGGGAUGAAAGGUUGGUUGGACAACGCCAACCCACGCCAGCCUCAAAGCAACAGGCGGCACCGAGAACAAGCACACACAAAAGAAGAGCGACGUGACACCACCAAACACAUCUAGGCUGUCCGAGACGCUAAAGCAAAUCCCUACCACCUGCUUUACACCUUCGAGGACCUCGGGAGGGGACAGCGAGUGUGGCCGUGUCAGACGCUGCGGCCGAUCGGCGCUCGAAGGUUCCAACCACCCGGCUGCAGGCAACGCGGGGGUUUUACAUGGAAUUCCCUUCUCAUCACCCGAAACCCAAAAAGCUUUAAACCAGACGAACUAACGAAGAAACACUGAAGAAAUGAGGAUCAGAACGACGAGCACGACUGAAACAAGUUUCAUCCUUAUGUUUGGUACGGCUCUUCCGCAUUAAAGGUACUCCAAGUCGUCUGGAAAUGCCUUUAUGCAACUCCGAAGACACAGCGUAGGUUCGCUGGUUGAAUGAUCCUCGAAUCCUGUGGUUUAGGUAAACUUUUCCCUACAGCCGACCUCUUCAGCGCUGUACAAGACACAGGCGAGGUCGCAACUGCUCCUCAAGAUACUCGGUUACGGCACGCCUCGUUCCCCUGAAAUAAUUAGCAGUUAAAAGGCGAUAAACGAUGCCGCACGGGGAGCAGACGGACAAAUGGAUGGACAGACCGAAGCGAACGGACCACUUUGUGGACAAGGAACCGGCUGGAUGGCUGCACUCAAAGGGUUGUGGCCAACGUCCACGUGGCGACCAGUGACGAGCUGCGUUCCUCAGGGGUCGGUACUGGGACCAGUGCUGUUUAACGUCUUUGUUGGUGACGUGGACAGCGGGAUUGAGGGCACCCUCAGCAAGUUUGCCGAUGACACCAAGCUGAGUGGCGCGGUCAACACGCUGGAGGGACAGGAUGGCAUCCAGAGGGACCUGGACAGGCUGGAGAGGACAAGAAGAGCCACGCGGGGAAACUCUGCUCAGACGCAGGACUGUCUGCGACGGCCAGUGCAGCGCGGAGAGAUGCCUCCCAGGAGCACAACGGCUAAAACACUUCAGGGAACCUGGGAUUUACAUUAAAAACAACCUGGACAACACAGGUAAGAGCCCAGAGAAACCACAGCAGAGGAAAACAAACCCCAAGACUUUCCCCAGGCAGCGAGAUCCCAUCCUUACAGGGUGGUUGGGGUAUUAAAAAACCAAAACACGUCCCAAAUGCUUCAAGCUGUCCUUUUGAUGGGGCAGUUUGUAGCGAGCGUGAGCAGCCAGAGCGCAGCCCAGACCUCUAAAACACCUUCAGCCUCUUGUCCCGGCGCAGGGCUCAGGUGAAAUCCAUCUUCUUCACCCCCUUGCAUCCCUCGCCCACCCCCCGUUCUCCGCCCUGCCCCAAGGGCUGACCAGGAACUCCUCUGAGCACGUUGCAAAAUGGUUCUAAUCUCCCCCCUGAACGGAUCUGCAUUAAUUGCGGCAUCGUUAACUAACACAGCGCAGAAGCCAGAGUCCUCUGACUGUUCUUGGCCCCCUCGGGCAGGGACUCGGCAGCCAGGAGCUGAGCAAACAGCGGUUUGGGUUGUUUCGGGCAAAGGAAUCAUCUCUGAAAUAACGAUCUCCCUAUUUCAACUGAAACGAGAUCUUCAUACGGGCAUAACCACGGCCGGCGGCUCAGACCCACCGAAGAACCACCGUGGGCUGGGACCAGCAUCGAGCCCCUUCACGGAACCCAAAUUCUGCCCAAGGGCUUUCUGAAGGGUGAAGCCCGUGUCCUGGGGGGGGGCACAGGAGGAAAGCGGCCGCCUAAAUCCCCACACCCCCGACCGACGGGGCUCUCCUCGCUUAGCGGAAUCGCUGCGGAAAGAAACGCUGCUGCAAACUCUCCUGGUAACCGGGGACGUCACCCUGCGCCGCCCGCUCAAGUGAAUUGGGAAAAAAAGUGGGGGGAAAACACGAGUUUGUGGCAACAAAUGGUGUAAAGAUUUAUCAGCCGGUGGGAAGAUGGUGGAGUUGAAGGGAGCUUGGGAGGGCACGGAAGGAAUUCUGCUCCACAGGAUUCAGGCUUCGAGACGGCAGGGCAGUGAG